Molecule: long non-coding RNA, 667 nt
Organism: Manis javanica (Malayan pangolin)
Lineage: Eukaryota; Metazoa; Chordata; Mammalia; Pholidota; Manidae
Source: RefSeq, a predicted model, not a curated record
UCUCUGAGUAUAUGUGUGUAAACCAAGUAUUGAGCACUCUCCUCAACACAGUACUAAUGAAUCUGAUUUGACCUUCACGUCAACUCAGCAAAGGAGGUAUUACCAUUCAUCAUUGUAGAAUGAGUUGAGAUUUGAAAAGGGUUAGACAACAUUCUCCAAAUCUCACAACAGGCUUUAGUCCUGUCUGAUUGAAAGAUGUAACAUCACUGGGGAGCUGAGCGAUCACCCCUCCUUCGUUGUUCUAGAGGGAAGGAGGAAGGGAGAAGCAGAGGAAGCAAAAGAGAAAAAUUACCUGGAGAAAAAGAUGAUUUAGGAAUCAAUGACACAACCAUUUAUGAAGUUCAAAGAAGAGAAAAAGGAAGCAUGGAACAAAGAACACAAAGGAGAGAGAAAAGACACAAAUCAGUGGAAGAGGAAAUGAGAAAGAUCAACUUGGUGAUACUGGGUCCCAGAUAUAUUUAUUAUCUGUCUACCUACCUAUCCAUCUGUCUGUCUAUUAUAUAUUUUCUACAUGUGUCCCUGAAAAUGGGGGAAACAAGAAGACUUUUUAUGGCAUUGCCCCUCUUGUCUAUUCUCUGGUCUCUGUUUGUGUCACCUGGAGUGCCCCAUAUGUAAUUUCUAGCCGUACUCUAAUAAAUCUAUGUGACAAUUGUCCCCCACCCCUUAG